RNAcentral lists this ribosomal RNA (463 nucleotides) under Euproctis kanshireia. Its description in RNAcentral is "partial large subunit ribosomal RNA". The record is from RNAcentral. Lineage: Eukaryota; Metazoa; Arthropoda; Insecta; Lepidoptera; Erebidae.
UGCCCACUGAUUUAUUAAUUAAAGGGCUGCAGUAUUUUGACUGUACAAAGGUAGCAUAAUAAAUAGUCAUUUAAUUGAUGACUUGUAUGAAAGAUUGGAUGAAAUAUAAACUGUCUUAAAUUUAAAAUUUAAAAUUUAAUUUUUUAGUUAAAAAGCUAAAAUAAUAUAAAAAGACGAGAAGACCCUAUAGAGUUUAAUUAAUUUUUUUAUUUAAUAAAUGUUAUAGUAAAGUGUGUUUUAUAAUAUGAAUUUAAUUUGGUUGGGGUGAUGAAAAAAUUAAUUUAACUUUUUUUUUUAUUUUUACAUUAAUAAAUGAAUAUUUGAUCCAAUUUUAUUGAUUGUAAGAAAAAAUUACCUUAGGGAUAACAGCGUAAUUUUUUUUUUUAGUUCAUAUAAAAAAAAGAGUUUGCGACCUCGAUGUUGGAUUAAGAUAAAAUUUAAAUGUAGAAGUUUAAAGUUUUGA